GGGACAAUAAUGAUAUUCAUUAAGAACAAUAAAUUAAGACUUGAAUACAAGCUUGGUGUCUCCUAAAGUUAGAACUAAAACUGAUCUUCUAUCUCUAACAUCCAGGAAUCUCUUGUUGUCUCCAAAUCUCUCCCUAACCUGAAGACCCUACAAUAAAUUGUAAAUAUUAAUAGGGCUAUCAGUAUCCAAUACUUAAGUCAUUGUAUCAAAAAGAGAAAAGUUACAAGAUGUUAUCACAUAAGUACCUUGUCCAGCAACCGAUUACUUCUUCUUCUUCGACCUAUUUGGGUUGAGGGAAGCUACAUACUGAGGAUAGUUCCUCUUCCAGUAACCCUGUUUCUUAUAGUAGAAGCACUCUAUCUGAC
This 365-nucleotide long non-coding RNA is filed under the name Elaeis guineensis (African oil palm). RNAcentral describes it as "long non-coding RNA (EGUI_LNC061331)". Lineage: Eukaryota; Viridiplantae; Streptophyta; Magnoliopsida; Arecales; Arecaceae. The record is from RNAcentral.